UGUGCAGCCUGGGCCUCCAUUCUGCACUGGUGUCAUGUGGUGAGUCGGUGCCGGCCAGAAUCCUGAAAGACCUGAUCCCCAACACCAGCUCCCCAAAUCCUCGACUCUUGAAAAAUCAAAAUCUAACAUUUUGGUGUUUUGGCCGAUUUCUUUGUGAAUGGUUCAUCGCGUGUGACUCAUACACGUGAGUGAGCACACCCAUGUGUCUGCGGCUGAGAAAAUGUUAUGAUCUCAACUUUAUCAGGGUGUCGGCAUUCAGAACCGUGUCCAGGGAUCGUGGUCCAGACCCACAGGCCUGGGCAUGUGCUUUCGAGGGUUCCGAAGACAACUCAACAGUGUGCCCAACCUGCUGGUUUUUUCCAGAAGCGUUUGGUGGUGUUAGAUCCCCUCCGUAGUCUCUGCACUGGGGUAGAAAUUCUGCCUUUAUGCAUCGGACCCGCUCCUGAUUCUCUGGAAUCAGAUCUGUCCCUACGGACAGACCAAGCUUCCCGGAUGCCAGCGGUGUUGGGGAAGCCGACGCUGCUCCUGCAGCAGGACGCCUGAGGACACGGCCUGCUCCCUCACGUCAAAACAGCCUCUGGGUCCUUGUCCCAGGGCAGAACAGCCUCUCCUAAGUGCGAACGGGGAACAGAGGAUUAACACUGUCACCUAAGGCAGAAGCCCUGCAAGCCCGUGGGUGCUCAAGGCCGAUUUUUUACCCUCCAUGACCACAAAAGAAACCAUUCUUUGUUGGGGUAGAAGAGCAUGAACCCUCUUUAGAACAGGUAGUGUUGGCUGGGCGCAGUGGCUCAUGCCUGUAAUCCCAGCACUUUGGGAGGCGGGGGCAGGCAGAUCACCUGAGGUCAGGAGUUCAAGACCAGUCUGG
Long non-coding RNA from Cebus imitator (Panamanian white-faced capuchin), 865 nucleotides. RefSeq lists it as uncharacterized. NCBI's taxonomy places the organism in Eukaryota, Metazoa, Chordata, Mammalia, Primates, Cebidae. The record is from RefSeq and is a predicted model, not a curated record. The transcript is spliced from 3 exons.